RNAcentral lists this ribosomal RNA (406 nucleotides) under uncultured bacterium. Its description in RNAcentral is "partial 16S ribosomal RNA". It matches the Rfam family "Bacterial small subunit ribosomal RNA", at positions 30 to 526 of the family's 1533-position model. The record is from RNAcentral.
AUUGAACGCUGGCGGCAGGCUUAACACAUGCAAGUCGAGCGAGCGGCGGACGGGUGAGUAAUGUCUGGGAAACUGCCUGAUGGAGGGGGAUAACUACUGGAAACGGUAGCUAAUACCGCAUACCAUCAGAUGUGCCCAGAUGGGAUUAGCUAGUAGGUGGUGUAAUGGCUCACCUAGGCGACGAUCCCUAGCUGGUCUGAGAGGAUGACCAGCAAAACUGGAAUUGGGACAGGGUCCGAACUCCUACGGGAGGCAGCAGUGGGGAAUAUUGGACAAUGGGCGAAAGCCGGAUGCAGCCAUGCCGCGUGUUUGAAGAAGGCCUUCGGGUUGUAAAGCACUUUCAGCGAGGAGGCGUUACUCGCAGAAGAAGCACCGGCUAACUCCGUGCCAGCAGCCGCGGUAAUAC